Ochotona princeps (American pika) is the source of this 164-nucleotide small nuclear RNA. Its record names the gene U1. It matches the Rfam family "U1 spliceosomal RNA". Rfam says of the family: U1 is a small nuclear RNA (snRNA) component of the spliceosome (involved in pre-mRNA splicing). Its 5' end forms complementary base pairs with the 5' splice junction, thus defining the 5' donor site of an intron. Lineage: Eukaryota; Metazoa; Chordata; Mammalia; Lagomorpha; Ochotonidae. The record is from Ensembl.
AUACUUACCUGGCAGGGGAGAUACCAUGAUCAUGAAGGUGGUUUUCCCAGGGCGAGGCUUAUCCAUUGCACUCCGGAUGUGCUGACCCCUGCGAUUUCCCCAAAUGUGGGAAACUCGACUGCAUAAUUUGUGGUAGUGGGGGACUGCGUUCGCGCUCUCCCCUG